UGGGGAAUAUUGACAAUGGGGGGAACCCUGAUCCAGCCAUGCCGCGUGUGGGAAGAAGGCCUUAUGGUUGUAAAGCACUUUAAGCGAGGAGGAGGGUACUGGUAUUAAUACUACCAGCUACUGGACGUUACUCGCAGAAUAAGCACCGGCUAACUCUGUGCCAGCAGCCGCGGUAAUACAGAGGGUGCGAGCGUUAAUCGGAUUUACUGGGCGUAAAGCGUGCGUAGGCGGCUAAUUGAGUCGGAUGUGAAAUCCCCGAGCUUAACUUGGGAAUUGCAUUCGAUACUGGUUAGCUAGAGUGUGGGAGAGGAUGGUAGAAUUCCAGGUGUAGCGGUGAAAUGCGUAGAGAUCUGGAGGAAUACCGAUGGCGAAGGCAGCCAUCUGGCCUAACACUGACGCUGAGGUACGAAAGCAUGGGGAGCAAACAGG
RNAcentral lists this ribosomal RNA (429 nucleotides) under Pseudomonadota bacterium. RNAcentral's name for it is "Proteobacteria bacterium partial 16S ribosomal RNA". It matches the Rfam family "Bacterial small subunit ribosomal RNA", at positions 355 to 776 of the family's 1533-position model. Lineage: Bacteria; Pseudomonadati; Pseudomonadota. The record is from RNAcentral.